GUGCUUGCUUCAGCAGCACAUAUACUAAAAUUGGGAUGAUACAGAGAUUAGCGUGGCCUCUGCACAAGGAUGACAGGCAAAUUCGUGAAGUGUUCCAAAUUUUU
Small nuclear RNA from Vicugna pacos (alpaca), 104 nucleotides. NCBI's taxonomy places the organism in Eukaryota, Metazoa, Chordata, Mammalia, Artiodactyla, Camelidae. The record is from Ensembl.